This 255-nucleotide ribosomal RNA is filed under the name Glaesserella parasuis. RNAcentral describes it as "partial 23S ribosomal RNA". It matches the Rfam family "Bacterial large subunit ribosomal RNA", at positions 1764 to 2018 of the family's 2925-position model. The record is from RNAcentral. Lineage: Bacteria; Pseudomonadati; Pseudomonadota; Gammaproteobacteria; Pasteurellales; Pasteurellaceae.
AAGGCUGAACCAGUCGAAGAUACCAGCUGGCUGCAACUGUUUAUUAAAAACACAGCACUCUGCAAACACGAAAGUGGACGUAUAGGGUGUGAUGCCUGCCCGGUGCUGGAAGGUUAAUUGAUGGUGUAAUCGAAAGAGAAGCUCCUGAUCGAAGCCCCAGUAAACGGCGGCCGUAACUAUAACGGUCCUAAGGUAGCGAAAUUCCUUGUCGGGUAAGUUCCGACCUGCACGAAUGGCAUAAUGAUGGCCAGGCUG